RNAcentral lists this ribosomal RNA (322 nucleotides) under uncultured bacterium. RNAcentral's name for it is "bacterial SSU rRNA". It matches the Rfam family "Archaeal small subunit ribosomal RNA", at positions 725 to 1041 of the family's 1478-position model. The record is from RNAcentral.
AGUGAAUAGAUACCCUGGUAGUCCCAGCUGUAAACGAUGCGCGUUAGGUGUAUCGGUGACCACGAGUCACCGAGGUGCCGAAGAGAAAUCGUGAAACGUGCCGCCUGGGAAGUACGGUCGCAAGGCUGAAACUUAAAGGAAUUGGCGGGGGUAGCACCACAACAGGUGGAGCCUGCGGUUUAAUCGGACUCAACGCCGGGUAAACCUCACCAGAUAAGACAGCUGAAUGAUAGUCGGGUCUGAAGACUCUACUUGACUAGCUGAGAGGAGGUGCAUGGCCGUCGUCAGUUCGUACUGUGAAGCAUCCUGUUAAGUCAGGCAA